AUGCAUGUCUAAGUACAAGCCUCAACACGGUGAAACCGCGAAUGGCUCAUUAAAUCAGUUAUGGUUCCUUAGAUCGUACAAUCCUACUUGGAUAACUGUAGUAAUUCUAGAGCUAAUACAUGCAAGCAAGCUCCGACCUUCGGGGAAGAGCGCUUUUAUUAGACCAAAACCAAUCGGGGGCGACCCCGUGCGCUUGGUGACUCUGGAUAACUUUGCUGAUCGAACGGCCUCGUGCCGUCGAUGUAUCUUUCAAAUGUCUGCCCUAUCAAGUCUCGUUGGUAGCCGACAUGGCUACCAAGCUUUUUACGGGUAACGGGGAAUAAGGGUUCGAUUCCGGA
This 338-nucleotide ribosomal RNA is filed under the name Spionidae sp. USNM IZ 1450469. RNAcentral's name for it is "SSU rRNA". It matches the Rfam family "Eukaryotic small subunit ribosomal RNA", at positions 51 to 387 of the family's 1831-position model. The record is from RNAcentral. Lineage: Eukaryota; Metazoa; Annelida; Polychaeta; Spionida; Spionidae.